Molecule: ribosomal RNA, 500 nt
Filed under: uncultured Glomeromycotina
Lineage: Eukaryota; Fungi; Glomeromycota
Description: partial small subunit ribosomal RNA
Rfam family: Eukaryotic small subunit ribosomal RNA
Source: RNAcentral
CCAAUAGCGUAUAUUAAAGUUGUUGCAGUUAAAAAGCUCGUAGUUGAAUUUCGGGAUCAUCAGGUUGGUCGUGCCACUGGUAUGUACUUGCCUUGGUGGUCCCUCCCUCUUGAAGAACCGUAAUGCCAUUAAUUUGGUGUUGCGGGGAAUCAGGACUGUGACUUUGAAAAAAUUAGAGUGUUUAAAGCAGGCAAACGCUUGAAUACAUUAGCAGGGAAUAAUGAAAUAGGACGUUUGAUCUUAUUUUGUUGGUUUCUAGGAUCGACGUAAUGAUUAAUAGGGAUAGUUGGGGGCAUUAGUAUUCAAUUGUCAGAGGUGAAGUUCUUGGAUUUAUUGAAGACUGACUACUGCGAAAGCAUUUGCCAAGGAUGUUUUCAUUAAUCAAGAACGAAAGUUAGGGGAUCGAAGACGAUCAGAUACCGUCGUAGUCUUAACCAUAAACUAUGCCGACUAGGGAUCGGAUGAUGCUAAUUUUUUAAUGACUCAUUCGGCGCCUUACG